Molecule: long non-coding RNA, 452 nt
Organism: Sander lucioperca (pikeperch)
Lineage: Eukaryota; Metazoa; Chordata; Actinopteri; Perciformes; Percidae
Exons: 3
Source: RefSeq, a predicted model, not a curated record
UAGAUGCGGAGUCGUACUGUUACGGCCACAGCAAACAAACACAACUUAGGCUAAAUGUGACCGUCAACAUAUUGAAUAACACCAAACCUGAGGAAUAAUUAAAGUAAAUCAAAGUUUAUUUACAACUUAACUACUAAUUAAAUUAAUUAAACCAAAACUAUGGGAGUCUGGAGGUCUGGCUAAAAAGAACAAAAGAAGGGAAGAAGCCUGAGCCAACCCAUCAAGGGCCGUCGGACCCAGAACUCCCCCCCCAAACUAAAAAGUAGUAACUAACUAACAGAAACAAAGCCACGAAAACUAUACUACCAGACCUCCAUCCUCAAAGCAAUGAAACAAUGAAAGACAAAAGUAGGUAACAAAAGGAACAACGGUGAUCCGAGCUGCUUCAGUCACUGACUAGGCAUUCCUGUCUCCCAGCCUCUUAUAUCCAGGGGCGGGGCCACCACCAAUCA